Molecule: non-coding RNA, 107 nt
Organism: Vigna angularis (adzuki bean)
Lineage: Eukaryota; Viridiplantae; Streptophyta; Magnoliopsida; Fabales; Fabaceae
Source: Rfam
AAACCAUGAGUAGGCGUCUUUCUCAACAAGCCUUUAAACCGGUCUCAUGCUUGACCGAGUGUUUCAUCCAUGUCCUGCCUGAAAUAAGAAAUUUCCUGCUUACCUUU